RNAcentral lists this ribosomal RNA (253 nucleotides) under uncultured bacterium. RNAcentral's name for it is "partial 16S ribosomal RNA". It matches the Rfam family "Bacterial small subunit ribosomal RNA", at positions 524 to 776 of the family's 1533-position model. The record is from RNAcentral.
UACGAAGGGUGCAAGCGUUAAUCGGAAUUACUGGGCGUAAAGGGUGCGUAGGCGGUUAUUUAAGUUUGCCGUGAAAUCCCCGGGCUCAACCUGGGAAUGGCGGUGGAUACUGGAUAGCUAGAGUGUGUCAGAGGAUGGUGGAAUUCCCGGUGUAGCGGUGAAAUGCGUAGAGAUCGGGAGGAACAUCAGUGGCGAAGGCGGCCAUCUGGGACAACACUGACGCUGAAGCACGAAAGCGUGGGGAGCAAACAGG